This 253-nucleotide ribosomal RNA is filed under the name uncultured bacterium. Its description in RNAcentral is "partial 16S ribosomal RNA". It matches the Rfam family "Bacterial small subunit ribosomal RNA", at positions 524 to 776 of the family's 1533-position model. The record is from RNAcentral.
UACGUAGGGUGCAAGCGUUGUCCGGAAUUAUUGGGCGUAAAGAGCUCGUAGGCGGUUUGUCGCGUCGAAUGUGAAAUCCCGGGGCUCAACCCCCGGGCCUGCAUUCGAUACGGGCAGACUAGAGUUCGGUAGGGGAGUCUGGAAUUCCUGGUGUAGCGGUGAAAUGCGCAGAUAUCAGGAAGAACACCCGGUGGCGAAGGCGCUUCUGGGACGGUACUGACGCUGAGACGCGAAAGCCAGGGGAGCGAACGGG